UUUUGCCGAGAGGAAAGUCCGGGCAGCGCGAGCCACCAUGCUUCCUAACGGGAAGGCGGCACAGCACCCCAAGGUCGUGCCGACAGAGAGCGCCACAGAAAAGAAACCGCCCGAAAGGGUAAGGGUGAAAACGCGGGGUAAGAGCCCACGACACGUCCCGGCGACGGGCGCGAUGGCAAGCCUCAUGGGCUGAAAGACCAAGUAAACCGGCAAAUGUCUCGGGCUGGCUCGCCCGAAAAGCCGCAAGGCUGUUGUCGGAGGGUAGGUCGAUAGAGACCGUCGGCGACGGCGGCCCCAGAUUGAUGAUAGAAGCCCGCAAGGGUGACAGAACCCGGCUUACAGGCCC
RNAcentral lists this RNase P RNA (346 nucleotides) under bovine gut metagenome. RNAcentral's name for it is "Bacterial RNase P class A". It matches the Rfam family "Bacterial RNase P class A", at positions 34 to 357 of the family's 367-position model. From Rfam's summary of the family: Ribonuclease P (RNase P) is a ubiquitous endoribonuclease, found in archaea, bacteria and eukarya as well as chloroplasts and mitochondria. Its best characterised activity is the generation of mature 5'-ends of tRNAs by cleaving the 5'-leader elements of precursor-tRNAs. Cellular RNase Ps are ribonucleoproteins. The record is from RNAcentral. RNAcentral also lists the same sequence under 1 other name.